Molecule: ribosomal RNA, 410 nt
Filed under: uncultured Methylomirabilota bacterium
Lineage: Bacteria; Methylomirabilota (SeqCode)
Description: bacterial SSU rRNA
Rfam family: Bacterial small subunit ribosomal RNA
Source: RNAcentral
AGCGUGGAGACAGGUGGUGCAUGGCUGUCGUCAGCUCGUGUCGUGAGAUGUUGGGUUAAGUCCCGCAACGAGCGCAACCCUCACCCCUUGUUGCCACCAGGUCAUGCUGGGCACUCUAGGGGAACUGCCCCGGUCAACGGGGAGGAGGGCGGGGAUGACGUCAAGUCAUCAUGCCCCUUACGUCCUGGGCUACACACGUGCUACAAUGGCCGGUACAAAGGGAUGCAAUACCGCGAGGUAAAGCUAAACCCAAAAAGCCGGUCUAAGUUCAGAUUGGAGUCUGCAACUCGACUCCAUGAAGGAGGAAUCGCUAGUAAUCGCGUAUCAGCACGACGCGGUGAAUACGUUCCCGGGCCUUGUACACACCGCCCGUCACACCACGAAAGCCAGCUGUACUCGAAGUCGCUGAG